Molecule: ribosomal RNA, 383 nt
Filed under: uncultured Eunotia
Lineage: Eukaryota; Bacillariophyta; Bacillariophyceae
Description: SSU rRNA
Rfam family: Eukaryotic small subunit ribosomal RNA
Source: RNAcentral
CCAGCUCCAAUAGCGUAUAUUAAAGUUGUUGCAGUUAAAAAGCUCGUAGUUGGAUUUGUGGCAGGUGCGUGCGGUCCGACACUGUGUGUGGGUGCUCGUGCGCAUCGCCAUCCUUGGGUGGAAGCUGUGUGGCAUUAGGUUGUCGUGCAGGGGAUGCCCAUCCUUUACUGUGAAAAAAUUAGAGUGUUCAAAGCAGGCUUAUGCCGUUGAAUAUAUUAGCAUGGAAUAAUGAGAUAGGACCUUGGUACUAUUUUGUUGGUUUGCGCACCAAGGUAAUGAUUAAUAGGGACAGUUGGGGGUAUUCGUAUUCCAUUGUCAGAGGUGAAAUUCUUGGAUUUCUGGAAGACGAACUACUGCGAAAGCAUUUACCAAGGAUGUUUUCA